UUACCGUGGUGAUGAGAUGCAUAGCAGAUUGUCAUCACUCAAUGGCUGGAUGUCUAAGUGGUACCCGGAGAAUAACAUAGGUUUCAUAGACAAUUGGACAAGCUUUUGGGGCAGACCUGACCUGGUGAAAAGAGAUGGUCUUCAUCCCUCCUGGGGUGGUCCCGCUCUUCUCUCUAGAAAUAUAGCACAUAGUCUUAGAGUUUGUAUUUAACUAACUGGGGCCCAGGUCAGGAAGCAGACAGACUGGCUAAACCGACCAUCUGCUAGCCGCCUAACAUCACAGAAGUCAGUUAAUUCUCAGCACAUAGAGACUCUUACACCGAGAUAUCACACUAUAGAGAAUGUGUCUGUUCCCCAAACUAGAAAAUACAAAAAAUGUCUAAACCAAUUUAAGAGUAACAAUUUAAUUGAGGUUCAACAAAUAAAAAACAGAUGCAAAACUUAUAAACAAAUGAUGGAGCUUGGCUUAUUGAAUAUCAGGUCCCUUUCUACGAAAGCACUUUUUGUAAAUAAUAUGAUCACUGAUCAUAAUCUAGAUGUGCUCUGUUUGACAGAGACCUGGCUAAAACCUGAUGAUUACAUUAUUUUAAAUUAGUCUAUCCCCCAAGAUUCCUGUUAUAAACAUGAGCCACGUCCAAAAGGUAAAGGGGGAGGUGUUGCUUUAAUUUAUAACAAUGCUUUCAGAAUUUCCCAGAGGGCAGGCUUUAAGUAUAACUUGUUUGCAAUAAUGGUGCUUCAUAUAACAUUAUCAAGAGAAAUCAAUGCUGGAAGCGAGCCCCGCCGCCUCGCAGGGAACAUCAGCGGGCUCAGCUGCUUUGUGAAAUUCGAGGGAUAUCGGAGCAUAGAGGAUUACGCAAGGGACUUCGUGGGGAAAGCUCGGUUGUCAGCUACGGAGAAGACCUGCUUAAUGGUCUUCUUCUGGGGAGGACUAGCCGAGCCCUUCAAGUCCCUUAUGCCAUUCUGGCCCCCCGAGGAGAGGCUGGAGGAUUCCAUCGGCCAUAAGCGAGCCCUGCCUCCUCGCAGGGAACAUCAGUGGGAUCAGCCGCUUCGUGAAAGCUGGAAGCGAGCCCUACCGCCUCGCAGGGAACAUCCGCGGGCACCGCGGCUCUUUGAAGGCCAGAAGCGAGCCCCGCCGCCUCGCAGGGAACAACAGCGGGCACCGAUGCUCUUUGA
Carassius carassius (crucian carp) is the source of this 1173-nucleotide long non-coding RNA. RefSeq lists it as uncharacterized. The transcript is spliced from 3 exons. The record is from RefSeq and is a predicted model, not a curated record. NCBI's taxonomy places the organism in Eukaryota, Metazoa, Chordata, Actinopteri, Cypriniformes, Cyprinidae.